AAAUGCUUUGCCAACGCUCGGGCAAACAGCACGAAGAAACAGCCACCAGGCUUUGUUUCACACUACCCUAUCUUUGUAUCAAUUGCAGAGGAAAGCUUUGUGGGGCCGUGACACCCAAACCUGGACAUAACCCAUCUACAGAUUGGUAUCAUCAGCAUAUAAUGCUUGAAGCUUGAAAGAAAAUUGAGACACGUAUAAAACUUCACGAGUAAUGUUCUUCACCAAAUGUAACGCAGAUGUUUAUCCUUGUAUUAUGGUACAAAAGAUUAAUCAAGCUGAGGGCAUGUAUACAAAGACUCAAACAUUGCAUGCCUUAUAAACAUCAUUUGUUUAUCAAUAAGUGGGCUUUAAACAAAUGAUGCAUAAAAAAUGGUCCAAUCUCUAGGGUACAUUUACUCAAGAGGUAAUACUCUAAAUAUCAUUACUAGCGCUACAUCCUCAGAAAAGAGAAUAAUCCCUUAAACAUGAAACAGAAAUUUACUAACUCCCUAUUUAAUAUUUUUUUAUCGAACAACGCAUGAAGGCUGCAUGGCAUUUCAUUAAAAGCAAGGUCAAUGGUACAGUCAAGUGCUUGGCUAUAGGUCAAGUUAUAAGAGCUAUGUUAUACAUUACUACAUUAGUCGUCUCUUGUUUAUAUAAAAAGGUUUUUUUAUUAUGUGGUACAAUGUCUCAAAUUCUCUUUUCUGUCUUCUCAAUACACUUGCUACUUGGGCCCACUACGCAUAAGCUCCCGUGCCCAGCAAGUCACUUGCAUGAGAAAUAAGCUCUUGCCUCUUCUCUUCUCAACAUCAGCAUUAGCUUGGCUAUAAGAUCAUUAUUGUACUUGCUCUAAGAAAGGAAAUCGUACAAACAGGAGGGCUACAGCAAACCUUCUUAGUACACACCCUCAUGCCAUAGCCUCUUGUUUUAUUAGUCUAUCAUAUCAAGAUACAGAAUGUUCAGGAUUGCUGUGCUGUGCAUAACACCUAGGAGAGCAACUCAGUAACAAUAAAUCAAGGAACUAAGUGGUUAAAUGUCGGUCACUCUUGUUAUGUCGGCAGUAAUAACCUGACAACCAAUGCCUCACUAGAACUGCUGUACAAUAGAUUUGUCAAGCACUUCAAUAGCUAUAUGAGAAUAUUCAUGUGUAAACAGUAGUAAUACUGACAGUUGGUGCUAUGGCAAGGCUUAAUGAGGCUUAUCACUUCAAAUGGGACUGUAUGGUAUCUUCUCUAUUAGUUGGGAAUGAAUUAUUUACAUCAACUAACUACAACUAUUAAUAGAGCCAUGUACAUAGUGAGAUGUGUUGCAAUAAUUCCAAAUAGAUCCGCCUCCCUAGAUCUAUUCCCUAUCUGUCUAUCAACAUCUUUUUUAUGAAUUGUCAAAAGAUCACGACAGGAGCAUUAUGAAAUGCAAACUUCCAAUUUCAUAAUGCUAUUUUCCUGCAUCUCUAUCUGCAUCAAAGAGAUCGAAAACCUUCUCAGAUGAUCAUGCAUACAGCAGACCUCCACAAGAUACUGGCCUUAUGUUUUCUAAGCAUUAAGCAACAGUGGUAUAUUAAGGGACGUAAGCUGGAGUCCUUGACAACAAGCCAUCCAGACCACAAGGUGUAUCACAUGGUGAAAAGAUCCCCAAAUGCAUUGUAUCAUGCCAGAGAUUCAGCGACUUAUGUAGUUGUAACCUAUACCCUUUAUUUUUUAUUUGUAGAUGUUGUGAACAUAUUUAGAAGGGGCUAACUGCCAAGUAGACUAAAUACUGAUGUAAGAACUUUACAAAAGUGUACAGCUAGUUCACUAUUGUACAAUUCAUAAUGGGUAUGAAACUUCUCCCUUGUAGGCAUGACCCAAUAUGAGAUUUAAGAAAUGAUCUCUAAAAUGGUUUCAAAGAUGACAAGGUGACCCAAGGCACACACCUUAUCAACUAGGCGGCAAGGCAUAACUAGACACCGAAGGUGAGCUGCAGCCACCUGGACACCUAGGUGCCUAAGGGAGAGAGAACUCUAGACUGAAGAAACAUAAGCCUAAGUGCCUAGGCAACACCUUUGAAACAGAGAUCUUUAGACUGAAGAAACAUAUGCCUAAUACAUAGAACAUAUAGAAAAAGAAACCUUCCAAACUAACAGAACUGUUCUUAUCUCUAGUUUUCAACUCACAAGGUGCUGGUGGGUUUUGCAGAAACAGUGUGGGUGAUAUAUGAACCACGAAUAGGUGUGUAGAUAUUAAUGCAAUUGUAUAACAUGACAAGAUUAGGCCUCUAAUUCAUAAGCCUGCAUAAAAGUGCAUCUACCAACAUGUGUAUUCCACCUCAAAGGUGUUCAGAUUAAAAUAUUAAAUUGCAUUGGUAAACGAGGUUUGCCCUGUCAUUUAUCAUAGCGGAAUAACAAAGUGGUUCAGACUGAGAUACUAGAUUCCCCCUCCCUCCUGUGCCGCACACUGUCCCUGCCCCUGCUGCCCAGGCUGCCAGCCUCCUACGGCACGGGCACCAUGGCCACCGCCAUGUCCCCGUCGUCCUUUGCCCUCCAACCUCCUUCCACUACAAUCUACGCUUCUCAUCCCCUACCAAUCUAAGCCCAUCACAAAGACAUAUAUAGUUUAUCAUUAUUUACAUUUAGCUAUUCAGUCCAAUAUUAUACACCUUCCAAGUGGAUCCCUUCUAUCCCACAGAAAAGUUUGCCCUUUCUGCACUUGAUACCCUUAUCUAUAGCUACCAAUCCUCAAAAGUUGUUCAUCCAUAUUCUUUAUUAAUGAUAAUGAUAGGUAAAGUUCUGAAAAACAGGAUCCAUUAACCUUACUAAACCGCUUGAAAACUUCACUAGGAUGAAAUUUCUAGGGAACAUGGAUAAAUCUCUCUGAACCAGGUGCUGACUGCUACGAUCCCAUUGAUUAGCAGUGCUACUGAAGAAUAAUGGCCAAUUAAGCACAAAUUCAUAAUAGUAAGAAACAAUCUAUUCAUUCAAAGAGGACCAGGCUUAGCCCGGGUGGUGAAGGCGGCGAGGUCCCCUUCACCAGGUCGGGGAUUCGAUCCCCGAUUUCUCACAAAAAAAUCUGCUUGCUGUCCUCACCCGCUCUCAGGGGAGCGACUCGGCUGUGGCUGGCUCUGGCCUGGGUGGGCCUUUGCAGUGUGGAAAGCCUGUGAGUCGACCCGUUAGUGACGGGAGGGCAGGGUUCGGGGGUUUCUCGGUCAGGAUCGUUCGCUGUGAUCUUCUAUCCAUGGAAAGCCGCGAGGGUGGUCUUACCCUCCCCGGUCGAGUUUUUUUUAAUAUAUUCAUUCAAACUGCAAAUGAUGUCAAACACAUGCAAGUAAGAUAAAAUAUAAAACUCAAGUGAAAGAAGAAAGUGUACUUGACACCAUAGGACUGCUUUGUCUCAGCAACAGCAGAUGAUUAUAAGAAAAUCGUGUGCCAAGUACCACAAUAUAAACAGAGUGUUAUUGGCAUAAUUGGGGCCAAGAGCUCAACAGAAUCUACUAUCUUACAAAAGGGUGUUUCCACUGUUCAUCUUUGAGAAACAAUUGUUGUCUUAAUAGUUGGACAUGACUAGUGUCAGUUUAGUCUUUGUUACCAUCAGUUCUGAUGAAAAUAUACUCACACAUCAACGCUACAAGUGUUCCCGACAUGACUUAUAAAAAGUUUCUAUUUAUUGUGACAUUGAAACAAAACUGAGUGCAAAUAAAUAACUAGAAACAGUUGUAUCUAUGCUACAAAUGUAAAAGUUGAAAUGCACAAGCACAUAUUAGUUAUGAUAAACUUACAGAUCAAAUCUUUGAUAUGGUUCCUCAAUUUGUCUGGAGUCCAGCAACAUAGUUAUCUCUGGAGCACUUUCGCCCAUCGUAGUCCUUACUCCUUAGGUGGAUGAAAUGAAUUAUUUUAGUACUGCACCCAGCAGGUACACAGUUUUUUGUUCAUUCUGGAAGAUUGCACUGGAGAUGACAUGCAAAACAAUCAGGGUACUGCACAGAAUGCGCUUGCCUUCACCGCCACCCAUCAAUAAACUUAUGGCUUGAUUACAACAGCCAUGAAACAAGACAGACCAUCAAGAUCAUAGGAUCUUGUGACGAGAUGAAUACAACUAGCUCCAUCCUA
RNAcentral lists this long non-coding RNA (4060 nucleotides) under Zea mays. RNAcentral describes it as "long non-coding RNA (ZMAY_LNC000503)". Lineage: Eukaryota; Viridiplantae; Streptophyta; Magnoliopsida; Poales; Poaceae. The record is from RNAcentral.